RNAcentral lists this ribosomal RNA (253 nucleotides) under uncultured bacterium. Its description in RNAcentral is "partial 16S ribosomal RNA". It matches the Rfam family "Bacterial small subunit ribosomal RNA", at positions 524 to 776 of the family's 1533-position model. The record is from RNAcentral.
UACGAAGGACCCGAGCGUUAUCCGGCUUUAUUGGGUUUAAAGGGUGCGUAGGCGGACUUAUAAGUCAGUGGUGAAAUCUCCCAGCUUAACUGGGAAACUGCCAUUGAAACUAUUUGUCUUGAGUACAUUUGAGGCGGGCGGAAUGUGUCAUGUAGAGGUGAAAUUCUUAGAUAUGACACAGAACACCAAUUGCGAAGGCAGCUCGCUAAACUGUAACUGACGCUGAGGCACGAAAGCGUGGGGAUCAAACAGG